CACCGGCGGCUCGAGUGGUGGCCCCUUUUAUUGGGGCUAAAGCGUCCGUAGCCGGCUUGGCAAGUCCCCUGGGAAAUCUGGCGGCUUAACCGUCAGGCGUCCAGAGGAUACUGCCAGGCUUGGGACCGGGAGAGGUGAGAGGUACCUCAGGGGUAGGGGUGAAAUCUUGUGAUCCCUGAGGGACCACCAGUGGCGAAGGCGUCUCACUAGAACGGGUCCGACGGUCAGGGACGAAAGCUGGGGGCACGAACCGG
RNAcentral lists this ribosomal RNA (254 nucleotides) under uncultured microorganism. RNAcentral describes it as "partial 16S ribosomal RNA". It matches the Rfam family "Archaeal small subunit ribosomal RNA", at positions 474 to 727 of the family's 1478-position model. The record is from RNAcentral.